AGAGACAGGUGGUGCAUGGUUGUCGUCAGCUCGUGUCGUGAGAUGUUGGGUUAAGUCCCGCAACGAGCGCAACCCUUAUCUUUAGUAGCCAGCGGAUAAAGCCGGGCACUCUAGAGAGACUGCCAGGGUGAACCUGGAGGAAGGUGGGGAUGACGUCAAAUCAUCAUGCCCCUUAUGUCUUGGGCUACACACGUGCUACAAUGGCUGCGACAGAGGGAAGCGAAGGGGCGACCUGGAGCGAAACCCAAAAAAGCAGUCCCAGUUCGGAUUGUAGUCUGCAACUCGACUACAUGAAGUCGGAAUCGCUAGUAAUCGCGAAUCAGCAUGUCGCGGUGAAUACGUUCCCGGGUCUUGUACACACCGCCCGUCACACCAUGGGAGUCGGGAGCACCCGAAGCCGGUGACCUAACCAUAUGGGAGGAGCCGUCGAAGGUGAAACCGAUGACUGGGGUGAAGUCGUAACAAGGUAGCCGUAUCGGAAGGUGCGGCUGGAUCACCUCCUUU
RNAcentral lists this ribosomal RNA (504 nucleotides) under Defluviitalea raffinosedens. Its description in RNAcentral is "bacterial SSU rRNA". It matches the Rfam family "Bacterial small subunit ribosomal RNA", at positions 1030 to 1533 of the family's 1533-position model. The record is from RNAcentral. Lineage: Bacteria; Bacillati; Bacillota; Clostridia; Lachnospirales; Defluviitaleaceae.